UCCAGGCGCUUUGGCUAUUUGAAAACUGGG
This 30-nucleotide non-coding RNA is filed under the name Mus musculus (house mouse). The record is from RNAcentral. Lineage: Eukaryota; Metazoa; Chordata; Mammalia; Rodentia; Muridae.